Cornus florida is the source of this 1965-nucleotide long non-coding RNA. RefSeq lists it as uncharacterized. NCBI's taxonomy places the organism in Eukaryota, Viridiplantae, Streptophyta, Magnoliopsida, Cornales, Cornaceae. The record is from RefSeq and is a predicted model, not a curated record. The transcript is spliced from 2 exons.
AGACCACUCAUUAUCUCUCGGUUAGUCCAUCUCGCUUAAAACAUUUUUUGGCUCCACCCACCACGAUUUCUCUCUCAUUCUCACUCGACACACUCUCUAGAUCGAUUGAUCCUACCUCUCUCAAUAUAAACUAGGGGUUCUAAACACAUCCUGCUCUCUCUCUCUCUCUCUAUUGAUGGAUCAUACCUUCUUGAUAUGAGCCGAUUUUGAUUGAAUUAGUCGAUUCCAAUGACUACCGAACUUCAUCUGUCACUCUUAUUGAUUCCAAUGGCAUCCAUGAUCGAAUCUGUCGCUACGUUGAAAUUUCUUUAUCACCAAUCAUCCAUCCUUAACGAGUUUGCAGGUACGGUUGAUUUUUUUUGGGGUAAACUACAAUGACCUCCCCUAAAGUUUGGUCUAAUUACAAAUAAACCUGAGUUUUGUCAUUUUUUUUUUUUUUUGCAAAGACCACUUGCGUCAAGAUUUUGUAAAAUAUUGUUAAAAAUGUUCAAAAUAUCUUGCAUAUUAAAUGACCCUUUUAUUUUUGUUUUGUUUUUUUGUUUUUUUUUUUUUUUUUUUACUUUUUCUCAACAUUCCCCCUUUUUUUUCUCCCUCUUUCACUCUCCUCUCCACCUCGUAUCACCAUCGCCACCAAGCACCUUCUCUCACUCUCCUCGCCACGAAGCACCACGAUCGCCACCAAGCACCACCAUUCCCACCUCACAACCACCAGCGGCGCCACCGCCGCCAACCAACACCUGCAGAAACGCCUUGACAACCUCCUUCUACCCCUUCCAUCUCCUAAUUUCCAACCUUCUUCUCCACUGAGGUCAGAUAACCAUCGGGCUCUGCUGAUUGAAUCCACAACCUCUUACGAAUCGACGCCGAUGACAACUGUCGGGAAGGAGACUGAAAUCCUAAUCAAGCGUCGGUGUGGUCGGAAUGUGCAGACACGGUCGGAAUCCUAAUCAAAUGUGGGUUGAUCGAAUCCACAACCUUGCCAAACAGCAGAGCCAAUGCUGAUGUCGAUACCGGAGCCAAAUUCACUCUCUUCUUGGAUGUCUCAACACUUGUUUAUUGAAUCCACAACCUCUAUAUAUGAUGAUUGAGGACGGUUGAGGGGUGAUAUUUUUUUUUUCUUUUCAGAAAAGGCUCUACUAUAAGUUGUCAAAUUAAUUUGGUAUUUUUGUUUACUGGUCCAAUUUUUGACGUUCUUGUGGCUUUUUCUCCAGAAGCUACACCAGUUUUUUGUUUGUCACUUUGUCUUAAAGUGAACCAAGCAAUCGAUCCCCUGAAAAUGUCAAAAUAAUAAUGUGUUGGUAGAAGAUUGGAGGUAACCCCUAAAAGUUCGGCUACGGCUCCCACCGUGUACCUGUUUGUCCCUCUUUGAUCCUAAUCGCUUCCAGUUCUGUGAUUCUGAUGAUAAAUUUGAUGAUGAUGAUUAUGGGCGUGGGGAUGGUGGUGGUGGUGCCACCAAUUUGAUGAUUAUGGUUUCGGCUCCCUCACAGUAGUGGUGGUCCUGGUUAUGGGGAGUGAGUGGCGGCGGCGGUCGCGGUCGCGCCACUAGUAUAUGUAUAUAUGGGCAAAAAAAUGCAUAUAUACAAUCAUUACACGAUCGUAAGUUACAUGCUCUCCAAAUCAGGUUUUUCUUGGGAUUACAGUAGAGGAUCAAUACUUGCUAGUGAAGAAUCAGUUUGGAAUGCUUGGGUAAAGGAACAUCCUGAACUGGAGGAAAAUUUCACUGAAAAACUGAGAUGACAUAUGUACUUUCUUUACACAAGACCGUGCAAUUGGAGAGGGUGCUCAAACCGCUUUGGAAGCCGACAUGCAAAUGGUUAAUGAAGAAUCAUCCGGAAAUGUAAAAACUGAGAUGACAUUUGUACUCUGAUUGUCAAGUAGCAUGUUAUUUUCCUUUUCCGGACAGAAUAACUUUAUUUUCAUGUAAACAGUAUCAUGAUAUAUAUUUUUAGUUCUCUUUUAGAUUCA